AAUUGACAGACUGGAAAGUUAAAGAUGGAGGCACAACUUCCCAUCCCUCUCCUCCGAUGCGUCCUGCGUGCCUAACUCUUCAAAGUGCGUCAGUCAUGAGGCACAACAAAGAAGGGUGCAAAGGGAAAACUGGAAUCUAGCCCAGCACUGCAGUGAAAUCUACUUUGAUUUCUCAGUAGAAAUAAAAGAAAUAAAAGAAAACCCACAGAAAAGGGCCAUUAGAGGAGAAAACAUUUGUCACCCUGGACAGAAUAAAAGUCCAACCAAAUGAAAUAAAUGCCUGUGGAAAAAGACGUGUCGUUCUAGGAAAAAUACUAUGUUCCUUCUCCCUUGCUCUUCAUUGAGUUUUUGUCCACUCAAUGUACCGGGCUUUACCCUCACCCCUGUUUAUUUUUCCAUCUAUGAAAGAUGCAUGGAUCGAAUUCAGCCUUCGGGGUAGGAUUGAAGAACCGUACACGGGGCAUGAAGACAGGCGGCAACAUUGGUAUUUAAGGGAUGCCUCCCAGCACAUCAAGGGCCUGCAUGUAUAUGGGCUCUUUAAUUUGAACCACAGGCCUGCAGUUGGGAGAGAACUGGCUCCAUUUUACAGAUGAGAAAACUAAUGCACAGACUCCUGAUGUCGGGCUUAGAACCCAGGUCUGUAAAAGUCCAAAGGCUUCAUGGCUGGCUCUUUCCCUCAUUUCACUCUGUGGCCUAUGUGAUUUACAAAAUAUAUUUUUGUAAUUUUU
This is a long non-coding RNA of Hyaena hyaena (striped hyena), 728 nucleotides long. RefSeq lists it as uncharacterized. The transcript has 2 exons. The record is from RefSeq and is a predicted model, not a curated record. Lineage: Eukaryota; Metazoa; Chordata; Mammalia; Carnivora; Hyaenidae.